GCAGCGUCGAAUGGGUUACUAUCAAGUUCCGCCAAGUCGCAUCCAACUCGCAGUAACCGAAUAGUAUUUUCAAGUAGGGAGCAAGGGGACGCAGAAGGAGACUUCCAAAAGAAUGUGAGGACUGCAUACAUUUGGCAUCCCCUCAGCAAUGACAGAACUUGAUCUACUCCAGAAGGACCAUUGCAUUGCUUCUUACAUCAAAAAGAAGAAAAGGAGAACAUGCUGUAUGGAGUUGUAUGGAGAACAUGGAGUUGUAACUAACUGGGCAACAGUUUUUUCCACAUAACAAAGGCUUUGACCUUCCUUCCUGCUGUUCCUUUGUUACCACCUUUCCUCUCCUAUGUCUCUUUAAGAAUAGACAUGUGGCGAUGUAGCUCCACACUAUAAAAAGGGAAAGAAUAUAAGCAUG
This is a non-coding RNA of Pogona vitticeps (central bearded dragon), 409 nucleotides long. The record is from RefSeq and is a predicted model, not a curated record. NCBI's taxonomy places the organism in Eukaryota, Metazoa, Chordata, Lepidosauria, Squamata, Agamidae.